RNAcentral lists this ribosomal RNA (399 nucleotides) under Triticum aestivum (bread wheat). Its description in RNAcentral is "partial small subunit ribosomal RNA". Lineage: Eukaryota; Viridiplantae; Streptophyta; Magnoliopsida; Poales; Poaceae. The record is from RNAcentral.
AUGUGUAGAAAACAAAAGUUCUUGGAAUGUCCUGAAAAUCCACGGAGGCAUUUUUUGGAAAAUAUAAAAAAUACUGGCGAAAGAAUCAAGACCAGGGGGCCCACACCCUGUCCACGAGGGUGGGGGCGCGCCCUCCCCCCUGGGCGCGCCCCCUAUCUUGUGGGCCCCCUGAGGCUCCGCCGACCUCAAGUCCAACUCCAUAUAUUCCGUCUCGCAGAGAAAAAAAUCAGGGAGAAAGUUUCAUCGCGUUUUACAAUACGGAGCCGACGCCAAGCCCUAAUCUCUCUUGGGAGGGCUGAUCUGGAGUCCGCUCGGGGCUCCGGAGAGGGGGAUUCAUCGCCGUCGUCAUCAUCAACCAUCCUCCAUCACCAAUUUCAUGAUGCUCACCGCCGUGCAUGA